RNAcentral lists this non-coding RNA (32 nucleotides) under Mus musculus (house mouse). The record is from RNAcentral. Lineage: Eukaryota; Metazoa; Chordata; Mammalia; Rodentia; Muridae.
UAAAUGGUGUCCAGUCAUUAGGACUUUGGAGU